ACCUCAGUUCGGAUUGAAGGCUGAAAUUCGCCUUCAUGAAGUCGGAAUUGCUAGUAAUGGCAGGUCAGCAUACUGCCGUGAAUACGUUCCCGGGCCUUGUACACACCGCCCGUCACACCAUGAGAGUUGGAGAUACCCGAAGCCUAUGAGCUAACUUUUAGAGGCAGUAGUCGAAGGUAGAAUCAAUGAUUGGGGUGAAGUCGUAACAAGGUAAC
This 215-nucleotide ribosomal RNA is filed under the name uncultured bacterium. RNAcentral's name for it is "partial 16S ribosomal RNA". It matches the Rfam family "Bacterial small subunit ribosomal RNA", at positions 1285 to 1500 of the family's 1533-position model. The record is from RNAcentral.